GAAUAUUGACCCGAACACAAAGUAGAAUAUUCGAGCAAGGACUAUGGGGGUCUAUGUUCGAUAUAAUUAUACAACAUGUUCGAUCUUACUACCUCCUUGACAAUACACGAACGAAUGUGUAUUAACUUACUAAGUAAGUUCAGUUCAAGUGUGCUUUUCUGCUUUUAAUGCUUUACUUUCAGUCAGUGCAACAGACAACUGCCUUCAGACUGCACAACGCACGCUUCCUACUUACAGAGUUACAAGGUUAUGUGCUAGAACAAGAUUCUAGAUCUAGAGACUAGAAUCUAGGAUCUCUGCUCAGAUCCGUUGUCACACAUUGACACUUUUUUGGACAUCCUGGACUGUAAAGAAGACCCGUUGGAUUCAGUCUAAUAUGGUCAUGGAGAAGAAAUAAAUCUCUAGUCAAGGUGUUUUCUUGAACGUUGCCACAGGAGGCCUAAAGUUGGACCACGACCUUCCCUGCUUUAGAACACCAUGGAUGUGAAGGUCUCCAUAGUACGAAUCGGAAACCUUCACCUUAUCCCCACUUCCAUCUAUACCAAUCCUUUUCACAGUAGAAAUACUGAACUCCCGUUUCUGUUUAACAAAACGCUGUGUCUCACUUUUAAAAUCGAAAGCCUGCCAGUCUCUCCCGUACUCAAAGACCAGGCCAUGCCUUCUAAGAAUACUAAUGUACUGGUCAGGCAGGGUAAUGGUCUCCAAACGUUUUAUAUCCUGGGCUACUCUCCCGAAGGCACGAUCAGCUGGGAGGUAGCUGUGACCUCGCACUCGGAAAGUGUACGAAAUAUCCGUUUGAGGGAAAAAAAUUUCCUGUCCGCCAGGAGCAUAGACAGAACAUUGAAGUUCUUAUUCUGCCCAUAGGCAGAGUCACUGAAUAAGCGAAGUUCACGCUUGGACGUAAUUUCCUGCUGGUGAAAUUGGACAAAAUGAUGGAGUGCGGAGGCGAUCAUAUUUGAGUCUUUGUGGUUCUCACACUCCAACCACGUAAAAAACAACCACAUCAUCCUUCUGCUGAGGGCCGUUUUGACCCUUGUGGCAAAUGACCCCAAAGACAUACAGAUGUAGCUGCCGACUGUAAUAUGCCGCACCUAUAGGAGUCUUCGGGAGCACCUGAUUUUCCAUCAUGUCAAAACAAAUUGACAUGGAGUCCUCGCUUACGGCAUUAAGCUCAUUAUAAAAUUUGCGAGCCCUUCUGCGAUGCAGAAUAUAUUCCGCAGCCAACUCAGUUCUCCGCUCUGUCUGAAGAUCUGCCUGCUUCCCUUGCUCCUUGUAACGCUCGCACGUAGCGCAUCUGUCUGUGUUGGGAUGGCCAAAUCCAAGAUUGAAGUCCCCCCUGAAGACCGUGUAGUACAGGGAAUAGGAGACCUGCAAAAGAAAAUGAAUAAAUAACCUUUAUUAAAACUCAUAACCAUGACCAUCAAAUCAAAUCAGUAGAGUCCUUUCUGCCACUGAGGAAGAAUGUUGUGUUUCAAUAAAGCAGAGUCU
Long non-coding RNA from Aplysia californica (California sea hare), 1488 nucleotides. RefSeq lists it as uncharacterized. The transcript is spliced from 2 exons. Lineage: Eukaryota; Metazoa; Mollusca; Gastropoda; Aplysiida; Aplysiidae. The record is from RefSeq and is a predicted model, not a curated record.